AGUGAACGCUGGCGGUAGGCCUAACACAUGCAAGUCGAACGGCAGCACAGUAAGAGCUCGCCCUUACGGGUGGCGAGUGGCGGACGGGUGAGGAAUACAUCGGCAUCUACUUUUUCGGGGGGGAUAACGUAGGGAAACUUACGCUACUACCGCAUAUGACCUACGGGUGAAAGCAGGGGAUCUUCGCACUUUGCGCGAUUGAAUGAGCCGAUGCCGGAUUAGCUAGUUGGCUGGGUAAAGGCCCACCAAGGCGACGAUCCGUAGCUGGUCUGAGAGGAUGAUCAGCCACACUGGAACUGAGACACGGUCCAGACUCCUACGGGAGGCAGCAGUGGGGAAUAUUGGACAAUGGGCGCAAGCCUGAUCCAGCCAUACCGCGUGGGUGAAGAAGGCCUUCGGGUUGUAAAGCCCUUUUGUUGGGAAAGAAAAGCAGCAGGUUAAUACCCCGCUGUUCUGACGGUACCCAAAGAAUAAGCACCGGCUAACUUCGUG
This 492-nucleotide ribosomal RNA is filed under the name uncultured bacterium. RNAcentral's name for it is "partial 16S ribosomal RNA". It matches the Rfam family "Bacterial small subunit ribosomal RNA", at positions 29 to 507 of the family's 1533-position model. The record is from RNAcentral.